Molecule: non-coding RNA, 687 nt
Organism: Heterocephalus glaber (naked mole-rat)
Lineage: Eukaryota; Metazoa; Chordata; Mammalia; Rodentia; Bathyergidae
Source: RefSeq, a predicted model, not a curated record
UAUAUACACACAUUUACAUAUAGGAUUUGCUUCAACUUUUCAUACUCAUUUUUAAGAAUGUGUCUACUGAAGUUGGUGGAUUAUAAACCAUUUUGAAAUAUAAACACUUUCAUGAAGUUUUUUUGAAAAAUAUUUUUUAAAUAUUUAAGAAUAGCUCAUAAUUUUGCUACAGAACUGUCGCUCUAUCUAAAACUGAUUUGCAGCUGCUGGCAUAAAAAGGAAAGGUUCAUGGGAGGCCAGUGCCUGUGGGGCUUUUGUGUUGGGAUCUUUCCACACGGCUCAGAAUCUCUCUAGGAGUUGCUACCUCUCUUUAAAUUGCUGCAUUGUCUGCUUUUGUGCUGGCCAGCUGUGACAGAUCAUUUGUGUUCUGUUCUUUUUUAAUAUUUACAUUUUGUUUUGUUUUCCAGAAAUUGUUUAAAUUGCAUUACAGCAAAAACAAGUCCGGGCCCUUUUUAAGGAACAAAAGGAAUUGGACUGGGAGCCCAGGGGACUCCUUUGAAAGCUCCUCCCCAGCUUCCCACCGACAUAGUUUCCCUUAGACUUUGAGCAUUUGAGCUCCAUUGGGGGAAGCUCUUCAAGGACAUGGCCUUCUGAUGGAGCCAGGAGAAGCUGGGAGAAUAGGAAGGCCGGAAGAGAGGGAGAGAGGUAGGGGAACUGGCAGUGAGUGGAGAAGUCAGAACACAGGCA